GCCGCUAUGGUGAAAUGGUAGACACGCUGCUCUUAGGAAGCAGUGCGAGAGCAUCUCGGUUCGAGUCCGAGUGGCGGCA
Molecule: transfer RNA, 79 nt
Filed under: Mollugo verticillata
Lineage: Eukaryota; Viridiplantae; Streptophyta; Magnoliopsida; Caryophyllales; Molluginaceae
Also listed under: 8 other names
Description: tRNA-Leu
Rfam family: tRNA
About the family: Transfer RNA (tRNA) molecules are approximately 80 nucleotides in length.
Source: RNAcentral